This 30-nucleotide non-coding RNA is filed under the name Mus musculus (house mouse). The record is from RNAcentral. Lineage: Eukaryota; Metazoa; Chordata; Mammalia; Rodentia; Muridae.
UGUUACAUGUGAACAGGAAGCGAGAGUAUC